Molecule: ribosomal RNA, 435 nt
Filed under: uncultured Oscillospiraceae bacterium
Lineage: Bacteria; Bacillati; Bacillota; Clostridia; Eubacteriales; Oscillospiraceae
Description: bacterial SSU rRNA
Rfam family: Bacterial small subunit ribosomal RNA
Source: RNAcentral
ACGGGAGGCAGCAGUGGGGGAUAUUGCACAAUGGGGGAAACCCUGAUGCAGCAACGCCGCGUGAGGGAAGACGGUUUUCGGAUUGUAAACCUCUGUUACCGGUGACGAAAGAAGACGGUAGCCGGUAAGGAAGCUCCGGCUAACUACGUGCCAGCAGCCGCGGUAAUACGUAGGGAGCGAGCGUUGUCCGGAAUUACUGGGUGUAAAGGGUGCGUAGGCGGGUAAUCAAGUCAGGCGUGAAAACUAUGGGCUUAACUCAUAGACUGCGCUUGAAACUGAAUAUCUUGAGUGAAGUAGAGGUAAGCGGAAUUCCCGGUGUAGCGGUGAAAUGCGUAGAGAUCGGGAGGAACACCAGUGGCGAAGGCGGCUUACUGGGCUUUUACUGACGCUGAGGCACGAAAGCAUGGGUAGCAAACAGGAUUAGAUACCCUGGUA